RNAcentral lists this long non-coding RNA (1228 nucleotides) under Monodelphis domestica (gray short-tailed opossum). Its description in RNAcentral is "lncRNA (ENSMODG00000047539.1)". Lineage: Eukaryota; Metazoa; Chordata; Mammalia; Didelphimorphia; Didelphidae. The record is from RNAcentral.
GACAUAGUAAUGGAUAGGACACUACUCUUGAAGUGAGGAACAUCUGGUUCAAAUCCCACCUUUGAUACUGUGUGACUAUAGAUAAGUCAUUUAACUGCUCUAUGCCUCAGUUUCCUUAUUUGUAAAAUGAAGGGGUUGGACUUGACGUUCUAUAAAUCCCCUACUCGUUCUAAGUCAAUGAUCCUAUGAUCCAUGCUCUGGGAUUACACGGAUUGGUUAUAAACUUGAACACUACUCCAACAGGCAUACUCCACAUCCUGCAUAAACACUCAAGCUAACAAAUAUAUUUAGUGGGCUAAGUUUAUUCUAUCAUACAGAAGAUGCAGCAAACACAAAGGUUUCACAAAAAUCCAUAAGCAAUGCAGAAAAUACAUAAGUUCUCAGUGGUAAAUGUAGUUCCCUUCUCUCUCUGGUAAGUCCAAUUUCUCUCCCAAGUCUCUAAUGUCCUAUACAUGAAUACCAUCACACUGAAGUUUGGACUCCCAUCAGAAGGGAAAUUGAUUUAGGACUUUUACAUAGAUAAUACCGCAGCAUUCCCAUGAGGAGUACUUUCAUUCUACAAAGGUGCAUAUAGCUAUUUGCCAUCUGGUUGCACCUAGUAGAUAUCUCCACCUGCCUCACCCAGAGAUCUCUUCACUCUGUAUUAUUACAGCAAAGGAUUCUGGAACUCACAUCUUGGCAAUAUGCUUUCCGGAGGCCCUUCUGACUGAAUGGAGGUGCAGAGAGCUCUUUCCACAGCAUCUAUUUAAGGAGAGUGCCCAGAGGGAACAGUUGUUUUCUUUUGAACUUCUCCAUCACACUUUUACACUGGAAACCUUCUCUCCCCACCCACAUACCCCUUCAUUGUCUUCUCCUGCUAGACUAGAAUAAGGAGGCCUAAGGAGAGUGAGAGGUUGGUGGAGCACACAUUUAUCCAUUGAGUUUGCCAUCCUCUAUUGUGUGUUUCAUGACACCUCAAAACAAUUACAAUAGUAACAUCAAAGAUCAUUGACCGCAGAUCAUCAUGACAGAUAUAACAAAUUUGAAAAAGUUUGAAAGAUUUUGAGAAUGACCAGAAUGUGACACAGAGUUGCAUGCUGUUCGGGAAAUGCUAUUGGGAAGACUUGCUUGACAAAGGGCUCCACAAACCUUCAAUUUGUAAAAAACAACCCUGAAAAACAAAAUCCUCCAAACAGUAAUAUCUGGGAAGUGCAAUAAAGUGAAGGACAAUAUAAUGAUGUAUGCCUGC